AACCCAUGGUGAGGGCACCUUCUCAAUAAAUCCUUGUACCCCUCCCACGCUUCAUAUAAAAUCUCUAAAUCGAUCUGCAUAAAAGAGGAGAUAUCAUUCCUCAACUU
Non-coding RNA from Gossypium raimondii (Peruvian cotton), 107 nucleotides. Lineage: Eukaryota; Viridiplantae; Streptophyta; Magnoliopsida; Malvales; Malvaceae. The record is from Rfam.